ACAGAAUAAUCUAAUGAGAUUUGGCAAAAAUUUGACCAAAAAGGUUAGAAAAUUAUGAAGAUCAGUAUUUGAAGGAAGGAUUCUAUUUUCCAUCAUAACAAUGCAUCUUGGCCUAAGUUCUGUGCCAACACUAUUGGUAGUAGAGUGUACAUUUAACUAUAAACACAUACACAAAUGUUUGGACUAAGAAUAUAUGUUCAGAGGUUAUUUUUAUGAAUGAGUUGCAUGAUUUAAAAAGAUCUGGGAAUCAUUGGCUUAGAAUGUAACUUUAGUACUAAACUGGGAAAUAAUAGUUUGCUGACUGGAAACUUUUAAAGCAUGGUUUUGUGUAUAAUAUAUUUCUCUUUUCUGGAGUAAGUAGAAAAAUUAUUUUUUUAUUUUAUGACAUGUGUUUUCCAUUUUGUGCUGUGUAUUGUGUUACCAGAUUUGCUGAUUCCAAGAUAAGCAGGCAUCUCCUGAGAAUUAAUAUAGCUGAGCUGGAUUCUCUGGGCAGGAAAACUUCUGUUUUUAUAGAUUGGCAAACUCCAUCAUAGAAAGUUUCAGGUGUCUUAAAGGUCACACAGAUGAAAAUGUGGCCCUCAAACCCUCCUUAUUGGUUGUUCACUUUAGAACACAUUCAUUCCAGAUA
Long non-coding RNA from Pipistrellus kuhlii (Kuhl's pipistrelle), 628 nucleotides. RefSeq lists it as uncharacterized. NCBI's taxonomy places the organism in Eukaryota, Metazoa, Chordata, Mammalia, Chiroptera, Vespertilionidae. The record is from RefSeq and is a predicted model, not a curated record. The transcript has 2 exons.